This 249-nucleotide unclassified non-coding RNA is filed under the name Ciliolarina sp. RNAcentral describes it as "partial contains 5.8S ribosomal RNA, internal transcribed spacer 2, and large subunit ribosomal RNA". The stretch from base 1 to 52 matches the Rfam family "5.8S ribosomal RNA", at positions 103 to 154 of the family's 154-position model. RNAcentral also lists the same sequence under 1 other name. The record is from RNAcentral. Lineage: Eukaryota; Fungi; Ascomycota; Leotiomycetes; Helotiales; Hamatocanthoscyphaceae.
AACGCACAUUGCGCUCCCUGGUAUUCCGGGGAGCAUGCCUGUUCGAGCGUCAUUAUCAACCAUCAAGCACUGCUUAGUAUUGGGCGUCGUCCCCCCGUGGACGUGCCUUAAACGCCUCGGCGGCGGUUCCAAACCUCAAGCGUAGUAGAAUAUCUUAUUUAGCUUUCUAGGUUUGGGGCUGCUCUGCCUCUAGACACCAUUUACCUCAAGGUUGACCUCGGAUCAGGUAGGGAUACCCGCUGAACUUAA